CUUCCCCAUCGUCGCUGGCAUCUGACGAGGGCGGCAGUGUCACCUAGGAAGUGGCUGGCGCCCAACUUGGCCGCUCACCUCAGCCUCGCCGACCACCAGCCGACGCCUCGUGUCCGCUGCUUUGAUUUGGGUAACCGUCGACUUACUCGCCGGUCACACGGGCGUCACGGCUCCGCCCCGUCAUGGGAGCAACGUGCAGAUUUGAUAGGCCAUGUAGAACUAAUAGUGGGCCUUCAAGUUUCUAAAGGCUGAGGGGUCAUCGAGGAGCCGGCGCCGCCUUCGUUGCGGACCUGCAGGUCGCCAUCUGGACAUCGCUGCCGAGGUCCGCCUUCGCCUUCGCCCUUUGCAUGUUCAUAUAUCCAUUGGACGCCACAUCAAUUUUUCACAGUACGUACAUCUGUUGGGCACUGAUACAUACAUCCAUUAACGCCUCCGGCUCCUGUCCUUGUGCUUCAUGACUCCUUGUGCUUCAUGACCUUGGGCGGGACUGGCGCGGACAUGGAGAACAGGGACAGGGCCAGGUUUGUGUAUGUGUUGCGAACUUGCGAUAGUCCUCGACCGGGUGCUCGCCGGCGAUGACCGUGGCCUAGCAGGUACACUUAUGUUUCAUGUCUAUUCUGCAGAUUUUCAGAACACUGAGUGCAUAUCUUGCCUUGCAAUGUUGUUGAUUCGACAACCAGCAGCCCCAAGCAAGAUGAACUCGAUUGGAAGAUGUCUUCUAAACUCUGAAGGCAAGCACUCGGCCGACACUUUUGUUUCUGUAGAAGGCAUGUCGUUUGAUUCAUGCCAAGAAGCGUACAAACAGUAUAAGCUAUUCGCUUGGGAGAAUGGUUUCGGAAUUAAUCAUGGAAAGCAGAGAUGAGGGCAUGCAUGUUACAAAAUUGUGUACUGGUGCUAGGUCAGUUACAUAGCGUCUUGCUUGAAAUUGUAGUACAACUAUAUUCUUCUCGUUUCCCCAUCCACUCCAUGAUGGUCUUGCACUUGAAUUUUUUUCAUGCUUUGAAAUUGCUUGGUAUUUAUAUUGUAGACAGUGGGAUUGCCAUUGUCUUGUUUGGUUCUUUGUGUGCAGGUUAAGAGGGACAAAGGUAAAUCUUCUUCGUGCAAAACAGAAUGAAGGCGAGGAUGCAUCUCCUCCAUGCAAAGCAGGUUGGUAUGUGAGCAUAUUCUAGAACCAGCAAAAUCACACUCUAUCUGCAAUUUGUGAAGAGAAGAGGUAGUGGAACUCACACAGUGAGAUCAAUCCAGUUCUUAUGAAAAAAUUUCAUCAAAAAUCUCAAAUUAAAUAAUUUCAGCCUCAGCAAGGUGUACAAUAUUCUCACCGCAAUGCAUAGCGAUUAGACGGGAGCAACAUUCCGUAAGCAAAACUUAAGGUACCUUUGCUCAACGCUUGCUUAGUAUUCAAUAACAAAUGACAUGGUGUUCUGUGUUGUAGCCAGAAUUUGUUUUUUUUUAUUUGCUACAGUUUGUGAAUUUUAUCACUAGCCCUAUACCAUGAAAAACAACAUGCUAUAUAAUCAAAGUUCAUUUUUUGUCAGUAUAUAUACUUCUAAUUUCCAUUGGUAUUGUUGUCACUUCUACCAUUGUACUGGACCUCAAAGGGUGAAGGAUGGGUUUGUUUCCUGCUUUACUAGGGCUCAUGAAGAAUAUGUCCAUUUGUACAUUACAAGUAGAUGUGUCGUAAUUUUUAUCUUCUAGCUAUUAUUUCCAACAAAAAAAUUGGUUGCCAUGUUUGUGUUUGCAUUCUUCUCAUUUGGUAGGGAAUUCCAGAAUUGAAGAGCAUAUUGCCUUUACACAAUAUUCUUUUCUCUUAAGAUAAUCUCAAGCAUAUAAAUUAGGUAUUUCACUCCUCAAUGUAAUGAUGUAUGACUCUAAACCAUUUGAGGCCUCUCUAGGAAGUCGGAAAUCUCAUUCAUUCCUUAGACAUGAGAUAUUACAUGCUUAUUACAUGCAAGGUUAAGGAAUAAAAAAAUCAUAUAUGGUUGUGUACGCCAAGGUGCUCGACUUAGAAUUGUGUUGUUUUUGGUUACUUUGCAAGCUAACCUUCUAUUGCCUAAACUUAUUGACCAUCCGAGAGAAGAUUGUGGACUGCUAAGAGAUGUGCAUUAAACAAUCAUGAAGAAUGAAUGGCAUUUUCAUGUAACAUAACUCAGUAUCAGGUUUAGCUUGAAAGAAUAUGCCAACUCCCGCAGGUUCAAAUGACUUGAAGAAAUAAUGUGAGAAGCGAGUAUAGGAGGAGGUUGAACAUUAAAGCGAAAAUGAUUACAAGGUCUAUCAGCAUGGGUAAAAGAAAACUGAGGAGACAUCCAUGACGUGGGGAACCUAUAUUUCAUAACAUUAUCUUUUCGUUAGUUGAUCCAUUCGAUUAUUUGAAACAAUUGGCAAUAAUCUAUAUUUGGAUAGGGAAUUUAUUUGUUAACUUUGUGUCAUUUUUAUGUGUAAGAAUAUGUUGCUAAUAAUGUCUACUUAUACAUUGUUGUGAUGUCUAAAUGUCUACAUCAAUGAUGCAUGUUAGAGCAUCCUAAUUUUGGCAAUAGCUUUGUAAGCAAGUAUUUUAUGUUGAUUUUAUGUAAGUAAAUAUUUUUAAC
This is a long non-coding RNA of Triticum dicoccoides, 2585 nucleotides long. RefSeq lists it as uncharacterized. The transcript is spliced from 4 exons. The record is from RefSeq and is a predicted model, not a curated record. Lineage: Eukaryota; Viridiplantae; Streptophyta; Magnoliopsida; Poales; Poaceae.